RNAcentral lists this ribosomal RNA (229 nucleotides) under uncultured bacterium. RNAcentral's name for it is "partial 16S ribosomal RNA". It matches the Rfam family "Bacterial small subunit ribosomal RNA", at positions 568 to 796 of the family's 1533-position model. The record is from RNAcentral.
CAUGUAGGCGGUCUGUCAAGUCUGAUGUGAAAGCCCGGGGCUCAACCCCGGAAGUGCAUUGGAAACUGGCAGACUUGAGUACGGGAGAGGAAAGUGGAAUUUCGAGUGUAGGGGUGAAAUCCGUAGAUAUUCGAAGGAACACCAGUGGCGAAGGCGGCUUUCUGGACCGAUACUGACGCUGAGAUGCGAAAGCGUGGGGAGCAAACAGGAUCAGAUACCCUGGUAGUCC